GUGAUCGUCGAGAUCAUUGGGCGAGCUUAAAGGACGACAUCAUCAUCAAUCUACUUGACGAACCACGUUCGCUGACAGAUCAGCAACUCAACAAGCUUUGGCCUCGACGUCAGGGCGGUUUGGAUUUCGUGUUCCGUUCGGUCUGACGAAAUACGCAUCUGUCCCAAGUUGCUGACUCUGGAUCGAGUUUGAAGCAGAAAAGAAUUGGCCAAAGUGACCACAUGCGAUGACACCGUGCAGCUAGGCGCGCGGGCUAAUUCCAAGAGUGCUACGACAGGAAGGUGUCGCACGCGGUUG
RNAcentral lists this long non-coding RNA (297 nucleotides) under Setaria viridis. Its description in RNAcentral is "long non-coding RNA (SVIR_LNC002836)". Lineage: Eukaryota; Viridiplantae; Streptophyta; Magnoliopsida; Poales; Poaceae. The record is from RNAcentral.